RNAcentral lists this ribosomal RNA (313 nucleotides) under uncultured eukaryote. Its description in RNAcentral is "partial 18S ribosomal RNA". It matches the Rfam family "Eukaryotic small subunit ribosomal RNA", at positions 1470 to 1796 of the family's 1831-position model. The record is from RNAcentral.
CCCUUAGAUGUUCUGGGCCGCACGCGCGCUACACUGAUGCAUUCAACGAGUUUCUUCCUGGUCCGAGAGGAAUGGGUAACCUUUUGAAAGUGCAUCGUGAUAGGGAUAGACUAUUGCAAUUAUUGGUCUUCAACGAGGAAUUCCUAGUAGACGUAGUUCAUCAGACUGCAUCGAUUACGUCCCUGCCCUUUGUACACACCGCCCGUCGCUCCUACCGAUGAAUCGUCCGGUGAAGUUCAUGGAGUGGUGGUUGUUCCAGCUGCUGUCGAAGUGAAAUGGACCUCACGAUUUAGAGGAAGGAGAAGUCGUAACA